CUGUGAAUAUUCUCACGCUUCUGAUUUUGUAAUAGUUAGGGCAGGCCAAUCAUUCACUAUAUUAAGACCAUGCUUGUGUGUCCCCAGACCUAGUUCUUUCCGUCAGUCUGGCUUUAUAAAUGCUGAUGAUAAAC
This 134-nucleotide small nucleolar RNA is filed under the name Capra hircus (goat). RNAcentral describes it as "Small nucleolar RNA SNORA72 (ENSCHIG00000006720.1)". It matches the Rfam family "Small nucleolar RNA SNORA72". Rfam says of the family: U72 is a member of the H/ACA class of snoRNAs. The snoRNA gene is located in intron 4 of the ribosomal L30 protein gene in human, mouse and chicken. Lineage: Eukaryota; Metazoa; Chordata; Mammalia; Artiodactyla; Bovidae. The record is from Rfam by way of RNAcentral.